AAUUUCUCCUUAAGCAUGACUUUUUCAGGCAGUUGCACUCUCCCCCUUACAGUGAUUUCUUCUGGUGAAGGACAUUCCUUUUUGCCAGACAUUUUAGCUCUGCCUUCCUCCAUCCAGUUCCUCAUGUCUCAUCGCAGAAAGUGGCCUUGGGGAUCUGACAUGUGCUGAUGUGGGGUAUCACCUGGGUUAAGCAGAGCCCAUCUAGACCAGUUCUCUUUGCCUGUCAGAGAGGAUAUUUCCAGAGGGCUGUGGCAAGAUUUUUGAUAACAGCCAAGACAAAACUGCUUUGCCUUUCCCCACUGGGCUAAAGAACUACACUGCAUUCAUGGGAUAUGCUUUAUUCUUAACAAUUCCAUGUUGCCAUCUUCUCAUAGGGAUGGAGCAAAUAUUUAAUUUCUUGACAAGUAUCAGAACUGCAGUGUUUGAUUUACAGUUGUGGAUCCUCCCCGCCCUUGUUUUUUAAAUGCAUAAUUUAUUUUAAUAUAAAUUACCAGACCUGUCAUGAAGGUUACACACACACACAGAGAUAGAAAAAUGCAAGGAAAGUUUUUGGGCACUGGGACUGAAUUCUCCCUAUCUUACAAUCUGAGAAGAGAUGUUGUUAUUUUAGCCAGAUAGGGUCUUCCCAAAGAAUUCCUGAACACCAUGCAAGAGCUGGUGCAGUCUGCAUGAGCCCAUCCUGUUUUGAAUGGCAGAAAUUUAAACAUAUAGCUAUAGCCAGCUAUGCCAGUCAGCCCAGAACAAGAUAAUGCCCCCACUGUUGCUUAUUUUGUGGAUUUUUCCAAUUUUGUUUAUUUUUGAAAUUUUUUCUCUCUGAUCAAUGUAGAAAAAACCCCAAUUUUCAGAAUAUUUUCAGAUCUCUGAAAUAAUUAACCAAGUAGGUAAAUUAGGGAAUAUUAUCCACUUUUUUACAAAAGAAAAGGACUUUGUAUAAACAGCUGAUGCCAAAAACGUUUGUCUGUUUAAAAUAUCCCCAUCAGCAGGUAUCUGACACUGUAAAAGAGAGGUCAUCACCCUUCAGGGCAGAAUCUCAGUUGCUGGGGCUGAAUCACUCCCUCUGCUCUCCAUCUCCUUAGCCUCUGAGGUUUUUAAGAAGAAAUUUUGGAUGGGGUAGAGCUUUCCAUAGCCAUUAAUUCCCAGUCAGUCUGUGGAGCUACGUUAAGCAAGGUUUCCAAUAAUAUUUCCAAUUAAUUUUUAGGUAAUAGCGGUGCACGGCAUUUUGCAAGGAACGCUGAAGGCUGGUGGAGGUCCAUUCAUCAAAACCUGAUGGGAACUGUGGCCUCUGUGGUGUACACAGAUGUUGUUCUGGUCUAGGGAAACACUGGAGAGAAUAGUUAACACAGUAAAACAAAAGACCUAGCACAGUAAAAUAUUUCUAGCCAUAAGAGGGUAAAAGCAUAUCUAUUCAGCAGAGAGAGUGGAGUAAUAACUAAAGAUAAUCUAAUUACAGUCUGAAGUAAAAAAGGACUAUUUUCCCCACAGUUUUCAGUGAGAUGGAUUACCCUCUGUUGUAGAGGGGACUCAGAAGUGAGCAGAGACUAUAACGAUCUCCAGCAAAGUCCUUCUGGCAGAACAGCCAAGAUGUGACAAGGGUGAGAUGUGAUGACAGGUUUGACACGCUGUGAUGGCACCAGAGCAGAGCCAAAGCCAUAGUGCUGACCCACUUGUGAAUGGUCCUCAGCGUGAGCAUACCAGACCACAAAAAAGAGAGCUGAUGAUGAAGGGUUUGUUUUUAUUAGAAGACAAAUUAGAACAUUCAAUUUAUAAAAUACAGAAAAUUGGAUGUUCUGGGUGAGAGACUUCAGCAUUACAGGUUUUGUAAGGAAGUUUACCUCCAUAUGCCCUCCAAUUAUGAAAGGCCAUGAAAAUUUCUCAAGAUCUUGCUCCAGCAACCUCAGCAAUGGGCCAAGGGGCAACUCCAAUGGGAGCUGGCCUCAUCAGCCUGGUGCUUUGGCGGGGUUUGGCCACAUCCCGGGGCAGGGUGGAGAAGCCAGAGCUUCCCAUGCAGGACACAGCAGAUCCCAGUUGGCUCCAAUGGCCUCAGCAGAGGGAUCUGAGCCCCUCAGACAAGCAGGGGUGUCCUGAUGAUGCCCUUACUCAUCUGUACUCAUCCUUGCAGGAUGUCCUGCAAGGAACAGGGAGUUGGACUCCAAGAUCCUUAUGGGUUCUUUUCAGCUUGAGAUAUUCUAUGAUUCUGUGACCAUAACCCCCAUUUCCACCCAGGGCAACCCUUCAGGCCUGUUUUCUCUGGCAGAGCAAUGUCUGGGACCAUCUGAGAGUUGUCUUCAGCUACAGCAAGAUGAGAGCUGUAAAGACAGUGCAGACAAAGGCUCUCAGCCCUAGCAGACAGGAUAAGAAGAGCAAUGGCCACAAAAGGCACCAUGGAAACUUCAGGCUGGACAAAAUGACAUUUUUUUUCAUUUAGAGGGUGAUGAAGUCCAGGCAUGGGUUUCCACAGAGAGGUUGUGGAUUUGCUGUUCCUGGGGAUUUUCAAAGGUCAAAGCCAUGGCUUAUCCCAGCAGGUGCUAGUACAAUGCCUGCUUUGAGUGAGUGGCUGGACCAGAGACCUUCAGAAGUCUCUUCUGACCAGCACUUAAAUAACUGUGAUUAUAACAGCUGUAAACCAAAAAUGUGGUAGACUAGUUUUGAAAAGUAAGGAAAGUAAUAUAACUCAGGAAGAAUAUUUGCAGCCACUGCAAAAGAACUCCCAUGCUUAGAAUAAGGAGUCUGAAGGUUAAAUACUCCUGAGGAAAAACAAUAAAGAUGUGGUAUAAAGAAAGUUGGUGAGAUCAUAAAGAUAGAUGACCUUGGUGGGUAACAAUUCCUUUAUUUUCAACAUUUAUUUUACUUUGCUCUGAUUUUUAGGGGAAAAAAAAUGCAUUGUACUGUCUUUUCAAGGGAAGCAUAGCAGGCAAUGUUCCUUGCAGGAAAAGCAUAGCUGGGCAACAAUUGCUGUGCUCCUGCAAUUGCUGGAGGGCUGCUGGGACUGGGAUGCCUCCCAGAGCUGCCUAAGUGCUGUGUGGCAGAACCUCUCCCCCAUGUAUUACAAGCAUUUGGGCUUGGACACAAGUGAAGGAUCCAAAACUAAGCAGAAGAUGAGAGCUGCCAUCUCACAUCCAGAUCUCUUGUUAAUCUCAACAGUUUGUCCCGCUGGUGUCCUGGGGUGAUACCGUAGUCCAGCCAAAGGACCAACGCCUUCUUCUACUCAUUAUCAUCUCUUUUUUCCAACAUUGUCUGAUACUGCCUCUCAAGUAGCAUGCUAUUCCCUCUAUCCCUUUAUCUCCAUGUUCUCCAAUCCAUCUGAUUUAUCCUCCUUACUUAUUUUCUUCUGCCCUGUGCUACAUCUGCUUGAUCUUCUGUGUCAUAGUGGAUCUCUGACUUCAAUUCCCUGCUCUUCCACCAUUGUCACUGCUUGUCUCCCACAUCUUCCUGAAGAGGGGCUGAUAUUUGAUACUUUUUACUUCCAACUGAUAGUACAUGGAAAUCUACACCCCCACAGAUUCCAUGUGGAAUGUGUGCCUAACAGGAGUAUCAUAUGAUGCAGAACAGAAACUAAACUGGAGCAGAUGUACAUUGACAUAAGGUGUGGCUUGAGGGACUACAACUGCUCACUUCUAUGAAUGGACCAUCCGCCACUCCAGGAGAUCACAAAGCUUGUUUUGGGGAACAGAGAAGCACCACAGCUGGGUGAGGGAGGAUUUUGCUUGAGAAUUUGCCUGCCUUUUUGAGCUGUUAGCCCUCUAGCUGAAAAUAAAGUCCUGAAUCCUCAA
Long non-coding RNA from Taeniopygia guttata (zebra finch), 3770 nucleotides. RefSeq lists it as uncharacterized. Lineage: Eukaryota; Metazoa; Chordata; Aves; Passeriformes; Estrildidae. The record is from RefSeq and is a predicted model, not a curated record.